Molecule: ribosomal RNA, 403 nt
Filed under: uncultured bacterium
Lineage: Bacteria
Description: partial 16S ribosomal RNA
Rfam family: Bacterial small subunit ribosomal RNA
Source: RNAcentral
AUUGAACGCUGGCGGCAGGCCUAACACAUGCAAGUCGAGCGAGCGGCGGACGGGUGAGAAAUAUAUGGGGACUGCCCGUUAGAGGGGGAUAACUACUGUAAACGGUGGCUACUACCGCAUACUGCAGGAUAACCCACAUGGGAGUAGAUAGUAGGUAUGGUAAUGGCUUACCUGUGCGACGAUCCCUAGCUGGUCUGUGAGGUGGAUCUGCCAAACUGGAACUGAGACACGGGCAAGACUCCUACGGAGGCAGCAGGGGGGAAUAUGGCACAAUGGGCGCAAGCCUGAUGCAGCCAUGCCGCGUGUAUGAAGAAGGCCCUAGGGUUGUAAAGUACUUUCAGUCGGGAGGCGUUACCGACAGAAGAAGCACCGGCUAACUCCGUGCCAGCAGCCGCGGUAAUAC